Molecule: non-coding RNA, 147 nt
Organism: Sturnus vulgaris (Common starling)
Lineage: Eukaryota; Metazoa; Chordata; Aves; Passeriformes; Sturnidae
Source: RefSeq, a predicted model, not a curated record
GGUUCUCUCUGAGCUGUGUUGUCUAGAACGGACAGAGGGAGUACAUCUUUGCUUUUAGGUAGCUUCUUGCUCUGAGGUAAAAAGUUUCUCCCAGGACUGUGGCUUCUUCUUCUGGAGCUGUUCAGCUUUGCUCUGGGCCAAAACAUC